GAGGGCUUGGCGAAACUGGUAGACGCAAGGCACUUAAAAUGCCUCGGCCUUGGCCGUGCGGGUUCGACCCCCGCAGCCCUCACCA
This 85-nucleotide transfer RNA is filed under the name Devosia sp. Its description in RNAcentral is "tRNA-Leu". It matches the Rfam family "tRNA". From Rfam's summary of the family: Transfer RNA (tRNA) molecules are approximately 80 nucleotides in length. Their secondary structure includes four short double-helical elements and three loops (D, anti-codon, and T loops). The record is from RNAcentral. Lineage: Bacteria; Pseudomonadati; Pseudomonadota; Alphaproteobacteria; Hyphomicrobiales; Devosiaceae.